GAUUUUAUUUCGUGUAAAGUGCGUAAUAAAUCCAUUUAUUCAUCUUCAGUAGCUGUAUCCUGGUCACUGGUCACAGUGGAUUCAGAGCCCAUCUUGAAACAGUAGACACAAAGCAGGAAUACACUCCAGCUAUCACUUGUCAUUGUAAGACUCAAUGGGUAAGUUAUUUAUAUUGUCAUAAAUGCCAUUGUUCCAUUGUUCCAAUAUACAAAAUAUUGUGCAUAACUAUGUAAAUGCUUUUAUGUAUUUAUUUAUGUCAAUUGUUCAUAUCUAUGGGUACUAUUCAGGCUACCAGCAUGAAGAAAACAUCAAAGUGUCCUUCAGGAGAGGCCCACAGGUCAUUUUUGAAGGGACCCACCUGAAGAGGCAAGAAGGAUUAAAGACAAUCCUUUGCAAGACAAGUCAACACCUUAAAGAGAAGUUGUGGUCAGGAACAAUUCCCGUUCUAUUGUUUUACAGAGGAGAGGGGAUGUUUCAGACAAGCAAGAGGUGUUAGGAGAAUACAUUCUUCAGUUUGGGAAGUACAAAGGGAAGUCCUUCCCGUGGCUAGUGGAGAAUGAUAUUGGCUACAUUUUGUACUUGUCCAGUAAGGUUGAUGAGGAAGAACAGGCUGACCCAGAUGGUCGUUGCAAGGAGAGCCUCCUUUCCUUUCUUGAAUAUUCAAGAUGCUUUAAGGAAAUUGAAGAUCUCCGACGAUCCCUUUCAGAGAGGCCAGACUCAGUGCCAGUUUUGUCAGAUGAUGACAAUGUUGUUGGAUUUGGGGCAUGAGCACAGGACACCUGGAGGAUGAUCUGGAAUACCAGGGCUUAUGGGUAUGCUGCCUUUAUAAUGGGGAAGAGCUAUGUUCCUGGAAGUAAAAUGUACUGCUUGCAGCAAUAUAUUUUAAAGCAUAAAAAACAGGUGACCAUUGCUACACCUUCACCCUCACAAUCAACUCCCUCCACAACUUCCACUUCACACCUUUUCUCUGAUUAUCCAUGUGAGUAAACCACAUUUAUAUUUGUUUAUAUAGAUUCUUACAGUCUACUGAUGUAUUUGUUUCAUUUCACAGUAAUGGAGGAGGAUGAGAUGAUGCUGAGUCUGUCUCCACCCAAUUAUCUAGUUCAACCUGUUUAUGGCAUAUUAAAUAGCACAUACUAGAGUUAUACUAAACAAAUUCUAUUGUAUAUUUCAGAGUCAUCUGCAGCCACUCGGUGUCCAGUCUUCUCCACAGCACGAGGUUAUUUUCCACAUCAGUUUUGGAGCCGUAUGCUGUUACCCACAGAUUUAUCCUUCAUAACUCUUUUUCAUACCUUUUUUAUUGUUUUGGCAGUGUUUUUGCCUGUUCUAAAACUUGUGUUCUUUUGUUAUACUAACAAUUGGUAAAGGUUGAACAUAUCACUGUUGAGGGUGAGUGCACUUCAUGAAUUUUAUGCAUGCUAUUUAACAUAUUUGUAUUGUCUACUCAAAGCUUUAGCUGUUUUUAAAGAGUAAACUUUCAAAUUAGGAUCAAUUUGUAAUCACUUUAAGUUUUUAAAUAAUCUGUGCAGUUCAAUCAUAAAGGUGAACAUUAUUUGAACUUGCAUUAAUGGAAUUUUUAAAUAAAUAUUCUGUUGUUGUAAGUUCUAACUGAUCCAUCCAUCUAUUCAUCUUCUAUACCGCUUAUCCUCUACAGGGUCACGUGGAAACCUGGAGCCUAUCCCAGGGAUCAUCGGGCACAAGGCGGAGUACACCCUGGACAGGGUGCCAGUCCAUCACAGGUUCCGCCACAGCCAACACCGUCUGCGGUCUGCCAUCCAGUGCCAACAAGCAGACUGUAAUACACAUUGUGAUACAUAAUUAUGAAAGAUAUUGUGGUAAAGUCUGCUGUGAAUGGUCCCACAUUGAUACCCUAAAGAUUUUCACUUUCCAGAAACAGUUUAUGCCUAUCUCACUGUUGCUUAAGUAGAUAAAUCUCACCUGCAUAUUGCAUACUUGUAUCUAGAAACUGCUGGUGUAAUCAAAGUGUGAUGCUGGUACUGAUCAACACACUUAAUACUGUUUGACUUUAUAUGAUAGAGUUAUGUAAGAGUAAUGAUUUUUAAUCUCACUAUCUGGUGUCCCCCAGAAGAAGAUGGAUUCCCUUUUGACUAUGGUUCCUCUCAAGUCUUCUUCAUAUGGUCUCAGGAGUGUUCCUUGGCACCAUCUAUCUCGCUUGCUCAUUAAGGAUGCAAAUUUACAUCUGGAUUUCUGUAAAGCUACUUUUAUUACAAUGUCUAUUGUUAAAAGAGCUAUAAAAAUAAAACUGCAGUUUUGAAUCGAAAUUCUCGUCUUUAAUCUGUGACUCUCAAAAGAAAAGUUGAAAACGUGUUUCCGCCCGGUUUCGAACCGGGGACCUUUCGCGUGUGAGGCGAACGUGAUAACCACUACACUACGGAAACAUAUAAAUCCUAGACGUCGGAUGUACACUUACAUUUACAUUUAUUCAUUUAGCAGACGCUUUUAUCCAAAGCGACAUACAAAUGACCAAAUUACUUAUUUACUCAAAAGAAACAUCGUCAUAUUAGAAUAUCAUUUGAAUUGUUUGUAACUAUAUACAGUAUCUCACAAAAGUGAGUAUACCCCUCACAUUUUUGUAAAUAUUUGAUUUUACCUUUUCAUGUGACAACACUGAAGAAAUUACACUUUGCUACAAUGUAAAGUAGUGAUUGUAUAGCUUGUAUAACAGUGUAAAUUUGCGGUACCCUCAAAAUAACUCAACACACAGCCGUUAAUGUCUAAAUCGCUGGCAACAAAAGUGAGUACACCCCUGAGUGAAAAUGUCCUAAGUGCUCCCUCCAGCAAAAAAUCUGGAUGAAAACCGAAUUGGAAGCCAUGGGACUCUGGCCAGGAUCACGAUUGGUGAGACACCUUAUGAACAUGGUUUCCUUGUGGCGUUAUCUUCCUCAACCUGAGCUUAUAGAAACCAACACAGGCCUGCCGUCACCAAAAUACUUCCAGCUCCAUCCAUUCUUCAUCUGGAAACCGGAGCACAGUAUAAUGGAAAGGCUCAGAAACAAUUACAUCCUGCCUUGGUACCUAGCGGACAAUAUUAUAUCCUUUCCUCUUGUCUGUGCUGUAAAGCAUGCAAAAAAUCCUGGUUCCCUGAUAAACCCCAGUGGAUAGACAUGCUACCAAAGCGUUUUACGAACAUCUUGCCAGCCUUACUCACCCAUAAGAAGGCAAUCUGUAAAACAGUGAUGGAUGAACUGUGGCGCUCUGAAAAAUCACCAAAUGAUAUGGCCAACCAGCUGUCUGAGGUGCUUCACCUGAAGUACGAAAGAGCCCACCUAGCUUACCUGCUCAGCGUGCAGAACAUCAGGGAUGCUGAAGCAGGACUGUAUGGACAGAGGACCAUCACUGGGGCACUGAGGAAGGAUGACACACCAACACUGUUUGAGGGUUACUGAUGGGUGGUAUGAGGUGUCUGUGACUGCACACUAUCUGGUGGAGUGCCUUCUUCAAGAAUAUCAGCGGCAAGAGGCAGCUCUCACUCAGGUUCUACAAGGCACUUUUGGACAAGUGUUCAGGUCAGAUCACACACACAAACUUGCUAGAAAAGUGACUCUCUCAUCUGGCAUAAUGUCAUCCUAUGUUGUGAUGAAUGAGAACUGGAUGAUCCUGUUCUGGGUGAUGCUGCAAUCUGAAAGUGAGCAAGAAAAAAGCUGGUCUGAAAAGAAACUGAAAAAAGCAUACAUAUUCUGUGGUAUUGAGCCUGCUAAUCCCACCAAGCAGCACAUCAGACAGCACUGCAGGACAAAAGUGCCAAAUCCAAGAGAGCUAGUCCAGAGUGUGGAAGAAGUGCUUCAACAUUUCCACCUUGCAGAGGAUCCCAGCAACAUCUUCCUUUUUAAACCGUCAAUGCUAAAGGUGUGGUGGAUUCAGCAUGUACACAUCCUUAGAGGCUGCCUGAGUGACCCUGAGAUGGAGGAAGUAUCCUCUACAGACACGGGGGAACCUUAUAGCUCAAUCAUGUAAAGGGUAAUGGAGCUGCUGUGCCCAUUUGGAUACCUGUCAGGGGCAAUUCACAGCAGGGGGGGUUUCAUUUCCACCAGGCUUACUGGGUAACAGGUAAUCGUGUCUCUCCUGAGCUGUUCCAGGCACAGGGAAUGACUGGAGUGGCACGCUGGAACUAUCAGUGGCUGGUGGAUCUGUAGCAGCCUGGGGUCGUCCUACCUGCAGUGUUUGACCCUGUGUUAAUGAUGAAUUUAAACAGUGCCUCUGUGAGAGUGACAGGGCAGCCCAAGUAUCCAGCCUGGCAUACUUCCAGCAGGGACACAGGAGAGCGGUUUGGCCUACAGUAUGUGGAGCCAGGCUGUCAUCCAGUGCCUUUUGACUUUGCCAAACAUAAGUGCAGGAAUUCUGCCCUAGGAGAUGUGGAGAUUCCAGAAGAGUCUUCAUCUAGCUUUGAGUCUUCAAUUCCAUCUAAGGUACUCCUUUACACUUUGUUUUUAUUUGAUAAUGGAGAAGAAGAUUUGUAUUACUUCAUAAUAUGUUUUUCUCACUUGCAUACACUCAUUUUGCUCAAUUUCAGGAAUGGUUGGAUGAUUC
This is a long non-coding RNA of Ictalurus punctatus (channel catfish), 4548 nucleotides long. Lineage: Eukaryota; Metazoa; Chordata; Actinopteri; Siluriformes; Ictaluridae. The record is from Ensembl.